This 74-nucleotide transfer RNA is filed under the name Daphnia pulex (common water flea). RNAcentral describes it as "tRNA-Val". It matches the Rfam family "tRNA". From Rfam's summary of the family: Transfer RNA (tRNA) molecules are approximately 80 nucleotides in length. Their secondary structure includes four short double-helical elements and three loops (D, anti-codon, and T loops). Further hydrogen bonds mediate the characteristic L-shaped molecular structure. tRNAs have two regions of fundamental functional importance: the anti-codon, which is responsible for specific mRNA codon recognition, and the 3' end, to which the tRNAs corresponding amino acid is attached (by aminoacyl-tRNA synthetases). tRNAs cope with the degeneracy of the genetic code in two manners: having more than one tRNA (with a specific anti-codon) for a particular amino acid; and 'wobble' base-pairing, i.e. permitting non-standard base-pairing at the 3rd anti-codon position. The record is from RNAcentral. Lineage: Eukaryota; Metazoa; Arthropoda; Branchiopoda; Diplostraca; Daphniidae.
GCUUCCGUAGUGUAGUUGGUUAUCACGUCUGCUUUACACGCAGAAGGUCCUCAGUUCAAACCUGAGCGGAAGCA